AUUGAACGCUGGCGGCAUGCCUAACACAUGCAAGUCGAGCGGAGGAAGGGAGCUUGUUCCUGGAUUCAGCGGCGGACGGGUGAGUAAUGCCUAGGAAUCGGCCUUGUAGUGGGGGAUAACGUCCGGAAACGGGCGCUAAUAUCGUAUACGUUCUGAGGGUGAAAGUGGGGGAUCUUCGGACCUCACGCUAUCAGAUGAGCCUAGGUCGGAUUAGCUAGUUGGUGGGGUAAAGGCCUACCAAGGCGACGAUCCGUAACUGGUCUGAUAGGAUGACCGGCCACACUGGAACUGAGAAACGGUCAAACUUCCUACGGGAGGCAGAAGUGGGGAAUAUUGGACAAUGGGCGAAAGCCUGAUGAAGCAAUGCCGCGUGGGUGAAGAAGGUCUUCGGAUUGUAAAGCACGUUAAGUUGGGAGGAAGGGCAGUAAGUUAAUACCUUGAUGUUUUGACGGUAACAACAGAGUAAGCAACGGCUAACUUCGUG
This 484-nucleotide ribosomal RNA is filed under the name uncultured bacterium. RNAcentral's name for it is "partial 16S ribosomal RNA". It matches the Rfam family "Bacterial small subunit ribosomal RNA", at positions 30 to 507 of the family's 1533-position model. The record is from RNAcentral.